Molecule: ribosomal RNA, 253 nt
Filed under: uncultured bacterium
Lineage: Bacteria
Description: partial 16S ribosomal RNA
Rfam family: Archaeal small subunit ribosomal RNA
Source: RNAcentral
UACCAGCACCCCGAGUGGUCGGGACGAUUAUUGGGCCUAAAGCAUCCGUAGCCGGUCCUACAAGUCUUCCGUUAAAUCCAGCUGCUUAACAGAUGGGCCGCGGGAGAUACUACAGAGCUAGGAGGCAGGAGAGGCAAGCGGUACUCAGUGGGUAGGGGUAAAAUCCGUUGAUCCAUUGAAGACCACCAGUGGCGAAGGCGGCUUGCCAGAAUGCGCUCGACGGUGAGGGAUGAAAGCUGGGGGAGCAAACCGG